This 612-nucleotide long non-coding RNA is filed under the name Capra hircus (goat). Its description in RNAcentral is "lncRNA (ENSCHIG00000004496.1)". Lineage: Eukaryota; Metazoa; Chordata; Mammalia; Artiodactyla; Bovidae. The record is from RNAcentral.
GAAGAAAACAAGGUUUGAAGCAUUGAGGAAGUGCAAGAGAGAGGAGAAAUGUCACCAUACCACAGAGGGAGACCCCAGGAAGAAAGGAGAGUGAGAUGAGGACGACCUCUACUUCUCUUAGAAAACUCUGCUGCAGCCCUAUUUAGUGCCUUUUGUUUCUGUCUCAUGGGUGAGAACAGGAUCCCCUCAGCCAGCCUGAGCUUAAAGUGAUAUGAGAAAAUUUCUGCCAGUGGUACUGAUUAUAAAGAGCACUCAUCUUUAUAUCAGAUGCAGGAGAAAUGGAGAGAAUCAUGUGCUGUCUUAAGAAAAGCACAUGAUUGUUCUGUGAUUCUACAAAAGAUAUAAAACAUAUGUAUUUUUAUUUGAUUUACAUAUUCAAUUGCAUAGUUAUAUAAUGCAUGUUUUGUUAAUAACUCUUAAAACCGGGAUUCUGUUAUGCUGUCUCAGCCAACAGAAUUCCAACCUAAAGGAUAUGAAAUGACAUUCUGCCCAUAUUGUUCAAGAAAAUAAAUGCCAUUUAAAGAGUAAAUCAAGAGGUUUUUUUUUUUUUCUGGAUUGUUUCAUUGACUCAUAUGAGGGCUGGUGGGGAACAGUAACAGCUGUAAAUGACUC